GGGACCUAGCAUAAGACCGGAAACCGCCCCCCCCCACACACACACAUGAUAUUUGCCAGUCCAGGCAAUGUCAACCGCAAGAGAAAACCAGUGAUGACAAGUUUUACAAAUAAUCGGAAAGUGUGGUCUUUUGAAGAGAGUUCUUGAAGGUGUUCAGCAUGUUGUUUUGAUGGAUUCUUGGAAGGAUGUACCUCUAUGAUGAUAGCUUCAGUUCUGGAGUAUAACACCAGUUGUUGCAUAUUUAAUAUCAGAUUUAUUAAAUACAUUGUUGUUUUGCAAACAUUACUUAAACUUUGAUAUUUCUUUGGUGUUUAUGUAUGAUAUUGUAGGUGAAUAUCUCUUUAUUGCAAUGGCAAAUAUAUUUUAAAAUAUA
Mya arenaria is the source of this 373-nucleotide long non-coding RNA. RefSeq lists it as uncharacterized. Lineage: Eukaryota; Metazoa; Mollusca; Bivalvia; Myida; Myidae. The transcript is spliced from 2 exons. The record is from RefSeq and is a predicted model, not a curated record.